This is a long non-coding RNA of Cyprinus carpio carpio, 348 nucleotides long. The record is from Ensembl. NCBI's taxonomy places the organism in Eukaryota, Metazoa, Chordata, Actinopteri, Cypriniformes, Cyprinidae.
GUAAAGGGAAGAAAAAGAGGGAGGAGUGAAAGUAAAGGGAUGGAAAAGAGGGGGAGUGAAAGUAAAGGGAUGGAAAAGAGGGAGGAGCGAAAGUAAAGGGGAAGAAAAGAGGGAGGAGUGAAAGUAAAGGGAUGGAAAAGAGGGAGGAGUGAAAGUAAAGGGAUGGAAAAGAGGGAGGAGUGAAAAAUUGAUGUAUAGAGGUAUUGGGAAGGAUUGUUGGGCAUCAUUUCCAAGUUCCUUGAGUUCUACAGUUCUACGUACUCACUCUGGUGUUCAUUGUACUGAUCUGAAAAGGAACACAACUAGAAACACAAGUUGAAACACAACUAGAAGGCUACUAUAGUUCAA